AAAUAAGAUUUAUCGUGAGGAGUCAGCAGAAGCCAUAGUACAGAGGUGAAAAGACACCAAAGGAAGGGC
Desulfitobacterium hafniense Y51 is the source of this 69-nucleotide non-coding RNA. Lineage: Bacteria; Bacillati; Bacillota; Clostridia; Eubacteriales; Desulfitobacteriaceae. The record is from Rfam.